Molecule: small RNA, 191 nt
Filed under: Arabidopsis thaliana (thale cress)
Lineage: Eukaryota; Viridiplantae; Streptophyta; Magnoliopsida; Brassicales; Brassicaceae
Description: ATSL024940
Source: RNAcentral
AUAUCUUUCUAUUCCUGAAGUUACAUUAUAUUUUAUGUUGAACACUCGUGAUCACACAUGUAUACUAUUAAUUGGGAAGCAUUGUGUGAACUACAACAUUGUAAGGGUAGUUUAAAACUAACUAAAUGAAUAUUUUUGCAUGGGUAAUUUAGUAAAUUAACAACUACUCCAACUAAAUAAAUAUCUUCAAU